This 214-nucleotide ribosomal RNA is filed under the name uncultured bacterium. Its description in RNAcentral is "partial 16S ribosomal RNA". It matches the Rfam family "Bacterial small subunit ribosomal RNA", at positions 1287 to 1500 of the family's 1533-position model. The record is from RNAcentral.
CUCAGUUCAGAUUGCAGGCUGCAACUCGCCUGCAUGAAGUCGGAAUUGCUAGUAAUCGUAGGUCAGCAUACUACGGUGAAUACGUUCCCGGGCCUUGUACACACCGCCCGUCAAACCAUGAGAGUUGGCAACACCCGAAGUCGGUAGUCUAACCGCAAGGAGGACGCCGCCGAAGGUGGGGUUGAUGAUUAGGGUUAAGUCGUAACAAGGUAAC